Molecule: ribosomal RNA, 253 nt
Filed under: uncultured bacterium
Lineage: Bacteria
Description: partial 16S ribosomal RNA
Rfam family: Bacterial small subunit ribosomal RNA
Source: RNAcentral
UACGUAGGGUGCGAGCGUUGUCCGGAAUUACUGGGCGUAAAGAGCUCGUAGGUGGUUUGUCGCGUUGUUCGUGAAAACUCACAACUCAAUUGUGGGCGUGCGGGCGAUACGGGCAGACUGGAGUACUGCAGGGGAGACUGGAAUUCCUGGUGUAGCGGUGGAAUGCGCAGAUAUCUGGAGGAACACCGGUGGCGAAGGCGGCAUCCUGGACCAACAUUGACGCUGAGGAGCGAAAGCUAGGGGAGCAAACGGG